CCUACGGGGAGCAGCAGUGAGGAAUAUUAGUCAAUGGACGAGAGUCUGAACCAGCCAAGUAGCGUGAAGGAUGACUGCCCUAUGGGUUGUAAACUUCUUUUAUAUGGGAAUAAAAUGUUCCACGUGUGGGAUUUUGUAUGUACCAUAUGAAUAAGGAUCGGCUAACUCCGUGCCAGCAGCCGCGGUAAUACGGAGGAUCCGAGCGUUAUCCGGAUUUAUUGGGUUUAAAGGGAGCGUAGGUGGAUUGUUAAGUCAGUUGUGAAAGUUUGCGGCUCAACCGUAAAAUUGCAGUUGAAACUGGCAGUCUUGAGUACAGUAGAGGUGGGCGGAAUUCGUUGUGUAGCGGUGAAAUGCUUAGAUAUCACGAAGAACUCCGAUUGCGAAGGCAGUUCACUGGACUGCAACUGACACUGAGGCUCGAAAGUGUGGGUAUCAAACAGGAUUAGAUACCCGUGUAGUC
RNAcentral lists this ribosomal RNA (460 nucleotides) under uncultured bacterium. RNAcentral describes it as "partial 16S ribosomal RNA". It matches the Rfam family "Bacterial small subunit ribosomal RNA", at positions 338 to 795 of the family's 1533-position model. The record is from RNAcentral.